Molecule: ribosomal RNA, 482 nt
Filed under: uncultured bacterium
Lineage: Bacteria
Description: partial 16S ribosomal RNA
Rfam family: Bacterial small subunit ribosomal RNA
Source: RNAcentral
AUUGAACGCUGGCGGCAUGCCUUACACAUGCCAGUCGAACGGUAACAGGUCUUCGGAUGCUGACGAGUGGCGAACGGGCGAGUAAUACAUCGGAACGCGCCCGAUCGUGGGGGAUAACGAAGCGAAAGCUUUGCUAAUACCGCAUACGAUCUACGGAUGACAGCAGGGGACCGCAAGGCCUCGCGCGAACGGAGCGGCCGAUGGCAGAUUAGGUAGUUGGUGGGAUAAAAGCUUACCAAGCCGACGAUCUGUAGCUGGUCUGAGAGGACGACCAGCCACACUGGGACUGAGACACGGCCCAGACUCCUACGGGAGGCAGCAGUGGGGAAUUUUGGACAAUGGGCGAAAGCCUGAUCCAGUCAUGCCGCGUGCAGGAUGAAGGCCUUCGGGUUGUAAACUGCUUUUGUACGGAACGAAAAGACUCUGGUUAAUACCUGGGGUCCAUGACGGUACCGUAAGAAUAAGCACCGGCUAACUACGUG